GACGAACGCGGCGGCGUGCUUAACACGUGCAAGUCGAGCGGGCCUGUCUUCUUUUUUGGGGGUGGGUUGAGUGGCGAACGGGUGAGUAUCACGUGAGUAACCUGCCCUUCGGUCCGGAUAACCGCUUGAAAGGGCGGCUAAUACGGGGUGGUCCGGUUGGUCCGCAUGGGCUGGUCGGGAUAGAUUCACUGUUUUUGGUGUUUCGGCGGGGGAUGGGCUCGCGGCCUAUCAGCUUGUUGGUGGGGUGAUGGCCUACCAAGGCGGUGACGGGUAGUCGGCCUGAGAGGGUGGGCGGCCACACUGGGACUGAGAUACGGCCCAGACUCCUGCGGGAGGCAGCAGUGGGGGGUAUUGCACAAUGGGCGGAAGCCUGAUGCAGCGACGUCGCGUGAGGGAUGGAGGCCUUCGGGUUGUGAACCUCUGUUUCCGGUGGUGAAGGCCCUGCCCCUGGUGGUGGGGUUGACG
Molecule: ribosomal RNA, 465 nt
Filed under: Actinomyces sp. oral taxon 414
Lineage: Bacteria; Bacillati; Actinomycetota; Actinomycetes; Actinomycetales; Actinomycetaceae
Description: bacterial SSU rRNA
Rfam family: Bacterial small subunit ribosomal RNA
Source: RNAcentral